CUAGAUUUGGAAAUCUCUGUCUACGUGUAUGAAAGGAGGGAAGCAGCUAUAAAUUAGAAAGGAGAUAGGAAAGUGAAGAUAUUUACUAGACUCUGCCUUUGCUUGCAGUUCUCUGGCUUGAUUGAGGAGGUUCUCACUUUCAUCUUUAUGGGACUUUGGCUAAAAAAAUAAACUGUCAAAGGAACUGGCAUUUGCUGACUGGACUACAGCACAUCUCGAAGAAUCUGCAGACUGAAACCUUCAAGGCAUUCAUGAAAUGGUCUUCCCUUAGUUCCCCUGCCUUUUCCACUCUUUCUGCCAUUUGGAUUUCACACUGGAAGUUCAAGAGAUGACAUCAGAAAACAGAAAAGCCAGUGGGAAAGGCAAGGAGAUUUGGAAGAGUGUUUGAAAAUUUUGGCAAUCAAGAAUAAGAAGGUCAGUAAAUUUCAGUGCAGGACCACAUAAGUCUAAAAUACUACCUACGAUUUUGCUUAAAGAUCGUGCAACUGUGUAGACGGAUGUUCCUGCAAACCCGAUUGUUCUGCUACUGCAUAAAGAAUAUGUCUUGAAGGACAAGAGUGGAGACAGUUGGAUCAGCUAGGAGGCUCUGGUGGCAAUUUAAACUGUAGAUGAGGUGACUUGGACCAAAGAGCAGCAGUAGAGACAAGGAAAGUGGUCAGAAAUCAAGAUUCAAGGCCUGGUGUGGUGGCUCACGCCUGUAAUCCCAGCACUCUGGGAUGCCAAGAAAGCAGGAAGCCAAGUCACCAGGCAGAACUGAUAGCAUGGGAAGUGGGUUCCCACCAGUCGCAUGCAGCUGCUCUGGUAUGGCCAUGGUGCUGGGGAUGAGUCAGAAAUCUCAGUCUUUUCUGGCUUAAAGAAAAGGAAGAAUGGAACCCAUCUUCUCCAGAUAUGUUGUUAUGGGGUAGGUGUAGGUCUAGAGACAGAAAAGAAUCACAUUUGAACAUCCUCUUAAUGCAAGAACAUUUUUAAAGAAACAAUUUUCCCUGAAUAUCCAUCAAGCCUAAUACAGUGUGACUAUCUGAGAUCAAUUAUUCUUAUCUUUACAAAGACUGGGAGUUAUACAGCAAAAGCAAUACUGUAAAAUAUGUGUAUUAAAAUAUGUAAAAGAAGGGAGUUG
RNAcentral lists this long non-coding RNA (1117 nucleotides) under Homo sapiens (human). RNAcentral describes it as "PREDICTED lncRNA (TCONS_00226967)". Lineage: Eukaryota; Metazoa; Chordata; Mammalia; Primates; Hominidae. The record is from RNAcentral.